This is a long non-coding RNA of Lycium barbarum (goji berry), 625 nucleotides long. RefSeq lists it as uncharacterized. NCBI's taxonomy places the organism in Eukaryota, Viridiplantae, Streptophyta, Magnoliopsida, Solanales, Solanaceae. The record is from RefSeq and is a predicted model, not a curated record. The transcript has 2 exons.
GUGGAGGAAAGAGUAGUCAAGUUAAUUCACGGCAUUAAAUUCGGCAGCUCAUCGUUUUAAAAAAAUUUGAUCAUUUUUUAAAUUUUCUUUUUUAGGAUAGUUGGUUUAUAGUUUUUGACAAUUCUACCAAGUUUUAGAAUUUUUGAAAUUAAUUUAGAUAAAAAAGUGGGGUGUUAGAGUGGCUACACAGUGCAGAAAGAAAUGCAGAAAACUGCUUGAGCUGCCUAAAGGUGAAAAACGUUGAAAGCAGCGGUACUUGCUUCGCAAACUCAAAGCUAGAAAAGAAAAAAGCUAGUGGGCAAGAAAAUCUCUUGUGCUACGCACGCAUGGCUAGGAAGCGGUGAACUAAAUGAAAAUUGAGGCAACAGUAUAGAGUGAACAACCAACACAAGCUUGCAUUUUAGAAGUGAUGAUUAUAAUGCAAGCUACUUGAAGUGUUGAAACUUAGCAUUCUGGAAGAUUUGACGAGGAACGGAUCAAGUCAUGGAGGACGGGGUUUCUGAUGCUACCAAAGUUAACGGGGAGUUACUACUAGCUUUGUUUUUUAUUGUUUAGUUGCAUUAGGGACAAUGCAACAUCUUUAAUUGGUGGGUGGGACUUCAUUUUGAUAGAUAUUUUAUGUUGG